Molecule: ribosomal RNA, 474 nt
Filed under: uncultured bacterium
Lineage: Bacteria
Description: bacterial SSU rRNA
Rfam family: Bacterial small subunit ribosomal RNA
Source: RNAcentral
UGGGGAAUAUUGGACAAUGGGUGAGAGCCUGAUCCAGCCAUGCCGCGUGCAGGAAGAAGGCGUUAUGCGUUGUAAACUGCUUUUUGUACGGAACGAAAAGACUCUGGUUAAUACCUGGGGUCCAUGACGGUACCGUAAGAAUAAGCACCGGCUAACUACGUGCCAGCAGCCGCGGUAAUACGUAGGGACCAAGCGUUGUUCGGAUUUACUGGGCGUAAAGGGCGCGUAGGCGGCAAUUCAAGUCAUCUGUGAAAUCUCCGGGCUUAACUCGGAACGGUCAGAUGAUACUGCUUUGCUAGAGUGCAGAAGGGGCAAUCGGAAUUCUUGGUGUAGCGGUGAAAUGCGUAGAUAUCAAGAGGAACACCUGAUGUGAAGACGGGUUGCUGGGCUGACACUGACGCUGAGGCGCGAAAGCCAGGGGAGCAAACGGGAUUAGAUACCCGUGUAGUCCCUGAGCGGGCUGGCAAGGCGCAU